This 253-nucleotide ribosomal RNA is filed under the name uncultured bacterium. RNAcentral describes it as "partial 16S ribosomal RNA". It matches the Rfam family "Bacterial small subunit ribosomal RNA", at positions 524 to 776 of the family's 1533-position model. The record is from RNAcentral.
UUCGUAGGGGGCAAGCGUUAUCCGGAUUUACUGGGUGUAAAGGGAGCGUAGACGGCAAUGCAAGUCUGGAGUGAAAGGCGGGGGCCCAACCCCCGGACUGCUCUGGAAACUGUAUAGCUGGAGUGCAGGAGAGGUAAGUGGAAUUCCUAGUGUAGCGGUGAAAUGCGUAGAUAUUAGGAGGAACACCAGUGGCGAAGGCGGCUUACUGGACUGUAACUGACGUUGAGGCUCGAAAGCGUGGGGAGCAAACAGG